GUCCUAAUGAAGAGUCCCAGGACAGGCGGACGAAACAGCUGUCCAGUAC
This 49-nucleotide non-coding RNA is filed under the name Trichobilharzia regenti. The record is from RNAcentral. Lineage: Eukaryota; Metazoa; Platyhelminthes; Trematoda; Strigeidida; Schistosomatidae.